RNAcentral lists this ribosomal RNA (478 nucleotides) under uncultured bacterium. Its description in RNAcentral is "partial 16S ribosomal RNA". It matches the Rfam family "Bacterial small subunit ribosomal RNA", at positions 28 to 523 of the family's 1533-position model. The record is from RNAcentral.
GACGAACGCUGGCGGCGUGCUUAACACAUGCAAGUCGAGCGAUGAAGUUCCUUCGGGAACGGAUUAGCGGCGGACGGGUGAGUAACACGUGGGUAACCUGCCUCAUAGAGGGGAAUAGUCUUUCGAAAGGAAGAUUAAUACCGCAUAAGAUUGUAGUUUCGCAUGAAACAGCAAUUAAAGGAGUAAUCCGCUAUGAGAUGGACCCGCGACGCAUUAGCUAGUUGGUGAGGUAACGGCUCACCAAGGCGACGAUGCGUAGCCGACCUGAGAGGGGGAUCGGCCACAUUGGGACUGAGACACGGCCCAGACUCCUACGGGAGGCAGCAGUGGGGAAGAUUGCACAAUGGGGGAAACCCUGAUGCAGCAACGCCGCGUGAGUGACGACGGUCUUCGGAUUGUAAAGCUCUGUCUUCAGGGACGAUAAUGACGGUACCUGAGGAGGAAGCCACGGCUAACUACGUGCCAGCAGCCGCAGUAA